This 1457-nucleotide long non-coding RNA is filed under the name Canis lupus familiaris (dog). Its description in RNAcentral is "lncRNA (ENSCAFG00040008937.1)". Lineage: Eukaryota; Metazoa; Chordata; Mammalia; Carnivora; Canidae. The record is from RNAcentral.
AUGGGACUAGGGCUGACCUCUGGGGACCCUCAACAUUUAGAGACUGGAUGGAGGAGCAGCCCUGACCGUGGUGGAGGAGCCAUCAGGAAGAAGCAAAGCCAGGAGAGGGUGCACUCACAGAUGCCAAUAAAGGAGCGGAGGAGGAGUGUUAACUGUGUGAUACCGCUGCGAGGACAAGGUGGAGGAGGAGGCCCAUUGGGCUUGGUCACGUGGAGGCCAUGGGAGACGAAGACAGGAGCCUCCACAGACCUCUUACUCACUUCGGCCAGUCGUAGUGAAGACCAUGCCUCCUGUACCCCUAAUUCCCAUGGGAUAGAUUUGAAAGGCAGAUGGGAUCCUUCCCCCAUCUUUUUUCAUGGUGGCAAUUUCUACAAUUACUCUCCAGACAAGCUCAGUAUCAGUUCACCAGGCUUCUGUCCUACCCAGGAAUGACCUCUUUCGAGCAUUUCCUCACAUCCCUGAUGUUUACAUGCCUCCAGGGACAGAGAGCUCACUACCUCCACGAACAGCCUAUUCUAAGCAGUAUGAUAGCAUAGCUAUCCAAAACACGGACUCCAAGCUUUGCGCAGUGGCAGUAUCGGAGCCAAUGAGGUUUAUCCACGGAGCGUUUAUUGCUAAUCAAAACACGGAUUCCAGCCCACAUUGCUGUGGGUGAAUCUCAACUCUGCUACCUACUAGUGUCCAGUGCCUCAGUUUCCUCAUCUGCAAAUGGCAAUGAUAGUUGUACCCACUUCCAAUUGUGAUUAUGAGGAUUAAGAAGAUGCUACAUUUAAGCUGCUUGGUAAGCAUGUAAUACAUUUCAGCUAUUAACAUCAUCAUCACUGUUUUUCCUGAGGGAAAGCUACAGCUUACCUUACUAUAGUCUCCACCCAUUGGGCCCUUGGAAUAGUACCCUCUUCGGCACUCACCUGCGGUUCUGCAGUUCUCAAUUUUCAUUUUCUCCUGACGCAGGGUUUGGAUUUGUUUUUGUUUUUAGGGUUUUGUUUUUUUUUUUUUGGUAAGCCCAGUUAUUCAUCAUGCAAACAUGGUUUUCCUGAGAUUAUUUCUCCUUGACAGAAUCCCUGGUUGUUUGCCAGGCAAGCUCAACAUUGCCAAAUACAUAACUAGGGUGGGAGAGUGAUAGCUGAAGGCUUUGCCUCCUCCCCUCGUAGGCCCUCUUGUUGGCUCUCAGGCUUUUGCACUCCCUGGAUUUAGAAUCUUGUCAGUGGGGGCCCAUAACUGCAUAUCUACCAUCAGGGCAAGAUUAGGUGAUGAUGAAGAGCCCAGAUUCUGGAGACAGACAGAGCCAAGUUCAAAUUCAGACUCGUCUGCUUAUUUGCAAUGUGUGAUCUUGGCCAAGGCACUCAGUGUCCCCAAGCUUGAGCUUCUUCAUCUGCAAAAAUGAGGAUAACCACCUUGCUUACUUCAUCAGGUGCUAUGAGCAUGAAGACAGUGCAUGGCGUGUAAAACACUCAGCA